This 389-nucleotide ribosomal RNA is filed under the name Pirsonia sp. RNAcentral's name for it is "SSU rRNA". It matches the Rfam family "Eukaryotic small subunit ribosomal RNA", at positions 587 to 975 of the family's 1831-position model. Lineage: Eukaryota; Pirsoniales; Pirsoniaceae. The record is from RNAcentral.
AGCUCCAAUAGCGUAUAUUAAAGUUGUUGCAGUUAAAAAGCUCGUAGUUGGAUUUCUGGUAGGAGUGACCGGUCCGUCCAUUGUGAUGUGUACUAGUGUUGGCUCCCGCCAUCCUUGGGGAGAGCAUGCCUGGCAUUAGGUUGUCGGGUAUGGGAUCCCCAUCCUUUACUGUGAAAAAAUUAGAGUGUUUAAAGCAGGCUUAUGCCGUUGAAUACAUUAGCAUGGAAUAAUAAGAUAGGACUUUGGUGGUCUAUUUUGUUGGUUUGCACACCAAGGUAAUGAUUAAUAGGGACAGUUGGGGGUAUCCGUAUUUCGUAGUCAGAGGUGAAAUUCUUGGAUUUACGAAAGACGAACUACUGCGAAAGCAUUUACCAAGGAUGUUUUCAUUA